RNAcentral lists this ribosomal RNA (237 nucleotides) under uncultured bacterium. Its description in RNAcentral is "partial 16S ribosomal RNA". It matches the Rfam family "Bacterial small subunit ribosomal RNA", at positions 976 to 1213 of the family's 1533-position model. The record is from RNAcentral.
UGGUCUUGACAUCCACAGAACUUUCCAGAGAUGGAUUGGUGCCUUCGGGAACUGUGAGACAGGUGCUGCAUGGCUGUCGUCAGCUCGUGUUGUGAAAUGUUGGGUUAAGUCCCGCAACGAGCGCAACCCUUAUCUUUUGUUGCCAGCGGUCCGGCCGGGAACUCAAAGGAGACUGCCAGUGAUAAACUGGAGGAAGGUGGGGAUGACGUCAAGUCAUCAUGGCCCUUACGACCAGGG